UUCCGGUUGAUCCUGCCGGACCUUACUGCUAUCGGGGUGGGACUAAGACAUGCGAGUCGAGCGUCUCUAGCUAUGUUGAGACGCGGCAGACGGCUCAGUAACACGUGGCUAACCUACCCUCAGGACGAGAAUAAACCCGGGAAACUGGGGCUAAUACUCGAUAGGUGAGGAUGUCUGGAAUGAUUUCUCACUCAAAGGGCCUUGGAAACAUGCUUCCAUUGUCGCCUGGGGAUGGGGCCGCGUCCGAUCAGGUUGUUGGUGAGGUAAUGGCUCACCAAGCCUAUAACCGGUACGGGCCGUGAGAGCGGUAGCCCGGAGAUGGGUACUGAGACAAGGACCCAGGCCCUACGGGGCGCAGCAGUCGCGAAAACUCCGCAAUGCACGAAAGUGUGACGGGGCUACCCCGAGUGCCGUCCGCUGAGGAUGGCUUUUCUUUGGUAUAACUAGCCGGGGGAAUAAGGAGAGGGCAAGACUGGUGUCAGCCGCCGCGGUAAUACCAGCUCUCCGAGUGGUAGGGAUGAUUAUUGGGCUUAAAGCGUCCGUAGCCGGCUUAGCAAGUCUCCUGUUAAAUUCAGCGACCUAAUCGUUGAGCCGCGGGAGAUACUACUAGGCUAGGAGGCGGGAGAGGUCGACGGUAUUUCCGGGGUAGGGGUGAAAUCCUAUAAUCCCGGGAGGACCACCAGUGGCGAAGGCUGUCGACUAGAACGCGCUCGACGGUGAGGGACGAAAGCUGGGGGAGCGAACCGGAUUAGAUACCCGGGUAGUCCCAGCCGUAAACGAUGCGGGCUAGGUGUUGGGGUGGCUACGUGCCACUUCAGUGCCGCAGGGAAGCCAUUAAGCCCGCCGCCUGGGGAGUACGGCCGCAAGGCUGAAACUUAAAGGAAUUGGCGGGGG
This 894-nucleotide ribosomal RNA is filed under the name uncultured archaeon. RNAcentral describes it as "bacterial SSU rRNA". It matches the Rfam family "Archaeal small subunit ribosomal RNA", at positions 1 to 874 of the family's 1478-position model. The record is from RNAcentral.